RNAcentral lists this ribosomal RNA (404 nucleotides) under uncultured Bacillus sp. RNAcentral's name for it is "bacterial SSU rRNA". It matches the Rfam family "Bacterial small subunit ribosomal RNA", at positions 119 to 508 of the family's 1533-position model. The record is from RNAcentral. Lineage: Bacteria; Bacillati; Bacillota; Bacilli; Caryophanales; Bacillaceae.
GGGCAACCUGCCUGCAAGACGGGGAUAACUCCGGGAAACCGGGGCUAAUACCGGAUAACAUCUUCCUUCGCAUGAAGGAAGGUUGAAAGGCGGCGCAAGCUGCCGCUUGCAGAUGGGCCCGCGGCGCAUUAGCUAGUUGGUGAGGUAACGGCUCACCAAGGCAACGAUGCGUAGCCGACCUGAGAGGGUGAUCGGCCACACUGGGACUGAGACACGGGCCAGACUCCUACGGGAGGCAGCAGUAGGGAAUCUUCCGCAAUGGACGAAAGUCUGACGGAGCAACGCCGCGUGAGUGAUGAAGGUUUUCGGAUCGUAAAACUCUGUUGUUAGGGAAGAACAAGUACCGUUCGAAUAGGGCGGUACCUUGACGGUACCUAACCAGAAAGCCACCGCUAACUACGUGC